UUUUACCCUGCCGGAACUUAAGCAUAUCAAUAAGCGGAGGAAAAGAAACCAACAGGGAUUGCCCUAGUAACGGCGAGUGAAGCGGCAACAGCUCAAAUUUGAAAUCUGGCUCUUUCAGAGUCCGAGUUGUAAUUUGCAGAGGGCGCUUUGGCUUUGGCAGCGGUCCAAGUUCCUUGGAACAGGACGUCACAGAGGGUGAGAAUCCCGUACGUGGUCGCUAGCUAUUGCCGUGUAAAGCCCCUUCGACGAGUCGAGUUGUUUGGGAAUGCAGCUCUAAAUGGGAGGUAAAUUUCUUCUAAAGCUAAAUAUUGGCCAGAGACCGAUAGCGCACAAGUAGAGUGAUCGAAAGAUGAAAAGCACUUUGGAAAGAGAGUCAAACAGCACGUGAAAUUGUUGAAAGGGAAGCGCUUGCAGCCAGACUUGCUUGCAGUUGCUCAUCCGGGCUUUUGCCCGGUGCACUCUUCUGCAGGCAGGCCAGCAUCAGUUUGGGCGGUGGGAUAAAGGUCUCUGACACGUUCCUUCCUUCGGGUUGGCCAUAUAGGGGAGACGUCAUACCACCAGCCUGGACUGAGGUCCGCGCAUCUGCUAGGAUGCUGGCGUAAUGGCUGUAAGCGGCCCGUCUUGAAACACGGACCAAGGAGUCUAACAUCUAUGCGAGUGUUUGGGUGUCAAGCCCGAGCGCGUAAUGAAAGUGAACGGAGGUGGGAACCCGCAAGGGUGCACCAUCGACCGAUCCUGAAGUUUACGGAAGGAUUUGAGUAAGAGCAUGGCUGUUGGGACCCGAAAGAUGGUGAACUAUGCUUGAAUAGGGUGAAGCCAGAGGAAACUCUGGUGGAGGCUCGCAGCGGUUCUGACGUGCAAAUCGAUCGUCAAAUUUGGGCAUAGGGGCGAAAGACUAAUCGAACUAUCUAGUAGCUGGUUCCUGCCGAGU
This 931-nucleotide ribosomal RNA is filed under the name Curvularia lunata. RNAcentral's name for it is "partial large subunit ribosomal RNA". It matches the Rfam family "Eukaryotic large subunit ribosomal RNA", at positions 24 to 966 of the family's 3401-position model. The record is from RNAcentral. Lineage: Eukaryota; Fungi; Ascomycota; Dothideomycetes; Pleosporales; Pleosporaceae.